Molecule: long non-coding RNA, 2541 nt
Organism: Gasterosteus aculeatus aculeatus (three-spined stickleback)
Lineage: Eukaryota; Metazoa; Chordata; Actinopteri; Perciformes; Gasterosteidae
Source: RefSeq, a predicted model, not a curated record
GACUAGCGUCACAGAUGACGCGACCAAAAUGGCCGACAAACACCUGAGCUGUAACUUCCCCCAACCGACUGUUUGUGAACCUCCUUCUUAAAGAAAGAUAGUUGGAUGAACUGACUGAUGCAUUUCGUGGUGUUGAACGCCAGGUGGCGCCCUCCACCCAUCAACCGGACUGACGCUGCAGUGCGGAAGCGACGGGCUUUGGUGCUUUGAAAGAGUUCUAAACUGAAUCAUGUGGAAACAACACAUGCAUCGUAGCUGGCAGACAAUUACACUUUGUUUCAUGCUCUACUGUUGCUUUGUUCAACAUGCUAUACUGUGAUUAUUUAAAAAAAAAAAUUGACCUAAUAUCUGUCCCAUGACAUUUCCACCUCACAUGUUUUGACCUAAUAUAUUUAGACUUUUAAAUGUGUGCUCUCAGAGGCUGUAAUGAGCACUUCACAAACGGCAACCUUUCAUUUCAUAUUUCCACUCUGUCUGAUUAACUCUAACUAAAUGUAACUACUUAACUAUAGCAGACACUCUAUGUAAAUGAAUGGGAAUCUAUUUUUGUUUGUUUCCUGUAUUUUCAUGUCCUUUUCAUCUUCAUUUUUGUAAAAUGAUUUCCACUUACACCAAAAACAAAAUUCCAAAAUAUGUUGUCUAAAAAUGCAAUGGAGAAAACAAAAGUCAAAAGUUACAAUAUGCCAAUUACAUGUCAUGGAAAUCUCCCCUUUGUCAUGAAAAUAGUCAAAAACGGAAUAUUGAAAAAUGUUUUUAAAAAAACCUGAAUAAAAGUAUCCCAUGGCACGUAUGUCAGUAUGUAACAUGUCUGUAACCCUAAACAUGUCAUGGGGGAUGAAAAGCUUUAACCCCUCGGUUGAAAGUAUGAAAAAAAAAGAUUUUCUUAGAUGGAGCAACCUACCUGUCACUACCGUAACAGUGCAGCUUAUAAAAAUGAAUGCAUUCCCUAAAUCUGUACUUGUUUAGAUGCUUACCAAUGUCCUUUUUCCUUUUGGUACAAUUAUUGUGUGGGUGGCCUGGCUCUUCCUUAAUCAUUUUUUUAUUAUUGGGAAACUUAACAUUCAAAAAACAUCUGUGGGUGUUUCUGUUGUGCUUUAUUUUCUCUCAUUUUUUGUGUCACAUCCCGUUCUUCAUCUUUGUAAACUGAUUUGUGAAAAAUACUUUGAAAUUUGAAUAUAUUUCAAAAUAUGUUGUGACUAAAAUGUCAUAGAGGAAGAAGAAAAAAUAGAAAUAUGAAAGGCAAAAGAGAAGAAAAAAAAAAAAAGUUAAAAGGUACAAUACAUACAGCUUAAAGCAAUUAGUUCACUUCUUCAUUCAAAAGAUGCUUGUCAAUGCCACCUAAACUCUGGGCAUGUCCCCUUCUCUGUUUGCAUAACCCCCAGGCUCAACUUGUCUGAAACAACCAGUGGGGACAAAGCCCCCACUACUACCUCCACGGUAGCGCACUCAAGACCUGGCAGUGGUGGGAUUUGAACCCACUAGCACCUACAGAGGUUUUGGGCCCCUGCACCACUACACCACCAGUCCUGCUCACAUUAGAUAAACUUUGUUUCUCCUAUUUAACCGUGAGAAGGUGAAUUUAACCUCAAAACUCUUUCAAACACUAAGACUCAUUUCCACAAGUGGGCUUGAACCCACAACCUACAACGGAGGUUGGAGACAGAUGCUUUGCUUCUGCGCCACCUCAUCUCACAUUGAUCUGGAUCUCAUUUCUACUAUUUAACCUUCAGCUUGCGAGUUAAACCUCAAAACUCUUUCAAACGCUGAGACUCAUCCCCAUGACUGGGCUUAAGCAGCCCUCAAGUCAUUCUCUUGCACUAUUUGACCACACGCAUCUUGAUAUCAGUUUCUCGUAUUUAAACUUGAGAUUGCUUCUCUAACCCGUUUCAAAGCCUAUUGAUCGAAUCCAUGACUGCACUCAUGUGCUCCAUCUGAGAGAGAAGGGGUUUGAACCAAGGACCCUCCACACCUCAGCCUCGCAGCUGCUCCCCUGAGCUAUUCCACCGCACACUGCAACCUCACAUUAAUUCUGGUGUUUGUCGAGUCAGCAAGUCGAACCUCGAUAUUCUAAAGUUGGAAGCCACUACCGCUCCAUACUAUUAUAAUAGUACUGCGGUUAAAAUAAGGUCAUAGUACUGAUGCGUGAGAUGAUCAGUCCCGACUCCCCUGUGGAGCAAACCCGUCUGAGGAUUCUCCGAGGUUCCUCCUCAGCAGAGUGGAGAACAAAUCCCAGAAGAAAUAAACACGUUUGACCUUCAGGGAUCAGCUCACUCGGAUGAGUAGCUGACUCUUAACACACGGCACCCGGAGGAGAAAGGAUGGAAUCCCAAGCGUGGCUCAGGAACGUCUGCUCUGAUUCCACCUUGUCGGUUCCACAGAGCAAGUUUGGUAAAAUCACCAUAGCAACACAACGAAAAACUUUGGCGAACAACAAACCGAGCCGAGCUCUGACUGUCUCUCAUCCUGUACAUUUCUCUAGCGUUGUGCUCUUCGUAAGUUCUGUUUGUUUUGCCCGUAAUAAACUUUCACUGCUUCAAUUCA